RNAcentral lists this ribosomal RNA (440 nucleotides) under uncultured bacterium. RNAcentral describes it as "partial 16S ribosomal RNA". It matches the Rfam family "Bacterial small subunit ribosomal RNA", at positions 338 to 795 of the family's 1533-position model. The record is from RNAcentral.
CCUACGGGUGGCAGCAGUGGGGGAUAUUGCACAAUGGGGGAAACCCUGAUGCAGCGACGCCGCGUGUGGGAAGACGGUCCUCUGGAUUGUAAACCACUGUCCCCAGGGACGAAAAUGACGUAACCUGGGGAGGAAGCUCCGGCUAACUACGUGCCAGCAGCGGCGGUAAUACGUAGGAAGCGAGCGUUGUCCGGAAUUACUGGGUGUAAAGGGGGCGUAGGCGGGGAUGCAAGUUGGGUGUCAAAACUACCGGCUCAACUGGUAGUCGCACUCAAAACUGCAGCUCUUGAGUGAAGUAGAGGCAGGCGGAAUUCCUAGUGUAGCGGUGAAAUGCGUAGAUAUUAGGAGGAACACCAGUGGCGAAGGCGGCCUGCUGGGCUUUUACUGACGCUGAGGCUCGAAAGUGUGGGGAGCAAACAGGAUUAGAUACCCUUGUAGUC